UGUUAAUCUCUGUUGGGUCAGUCUGUGUUGUGGUUCUACUGGUGUUACUGGCUCUACUGGUGAGAAGAGAUGUUGACCUGAAACCUGAAGAGAUUUAUACAACUGUGGUUUACUCAGCAGUGAGAGCUGAAGACGUCAGUAUUGGAGACAAAACCAUCAGAAAGAGGAGUCCAAGACUUUAAACCAGAGCCAGACGUCGUCUACUCUUCACUGAAGUAGUCCACCAGUCCAACCAUUGACGUCCAGCUGCUGGUCUUUAACUGGUCUGCCCAGCACUUCAGACCAGAGGACAUCCACAGAUUUUUAAAUGUCUUAAGUCUUUUUUUUUCUCACUGAGAAAACCCAUAGACCCAUAGGACUCAAAAAUUGCAUCAUGGAUUUUUUAAAGUGUCCUUUAAUAAGGAAUCACAGCUUCAUGGUUUUAUAAAAAUGUUUCAUGUCUUAAAAAUUAUGCUUUUUAUGUGUUUUUUAUGUGCCUCUUUUGUAGAAGUGAAAUGAGUUAAACAACUCAAAAAAAAUUACAUACAACACAU
Maylandia zebra (zebra mbuna) is the source of this 533-nucleotide non-coding RNA. NCBI's taxonomy places the organism in Eukaryota, Metazoa, Chordata, Actinopteri, Cichliformes, Cichlidae. The record is from RefSeq and is a predicted model, not a curated record.